CCUACGGGCGGCAGCAGUGAGGAAUAUUGGUCAAUGGGCGCUAGCCUUAACCAGCCAAGUAGCGUGAAGGAUGACGGCCCUAUGGAUUGUAAACCUCUUUUGUCGGGGAGUAAAAUACACUACGUGUGCUGUUCUGCAAGUACCCUAUGAAAAAGCAUCGGCUAACUCCGUGCCAGCAGCCGCGGUAAUACGGAGGAUGCGAGCGUUAUCCGGAUUUAUUGGGUUUAAAGGGUGCGCAGGCGGUAGAUUAAGUCAGCGGUAAAAUUGAGAGGCUCAACCUCUUCGUGCAGUUGAAACUGGUUUCCUUGAGUGAGGGAGAGGUAGGCGGAAUUCGUGGUGUAGCGGUGAAAUGCAUAGAUAUCACGAAGAACUCCGAUUGCGAAGGCAGCAUACUGGCGCUCAACUGACGCUGAUGCACGAAAGUGUGGGUAUCGAACAGGAUUAGAUACCCUAGUAGUC
This 459-nucleotide ribosomal RNA is filed under the name uncultured bacterium. RNAcentral describes it as "partial 16S ribosomal RNA". It matches the Rfam family "Bacterial small subunit ribosomal RNA", at positions 338 to 795 of the family's 1533-position model. The record is from RNAcentral.